CACGUAGUUAGCCGUGGCUUAUUCCUAUAGUACCGUCACUUCUUCGUCCUAUAGAAAAGAAGUUUACAACCCGAGGGCCUUCUUCCUUCACGCGGCGUUGCUGGGUCAGGCUUGCGCCCAUUGCCCAAUAUUCCCCACUGCUGCCUCCCGUAGGAGUCUGGGCCGUGUCUCAGUCCCAAUGUGGCCGGCCAACCUCUCAGUCCGGCUACUGAUCGUCGCCUUGGUGGGCCGUUACCCCGCCAACCAGCUAAUCAGACGCGAGUCCAUCUCAGAGCGAUAAAUCUUUGAUGUCCAGAACCAUGCGAUUCAGACAUUUCAUGCGGUAUUAGCACAUCUUUCGAUGUGUUAUUCCCCUCUCCAAGGCAGGUUACUCACGCGUUACUCACCCGUCCGCCACUUUCCUCCAGUUCCGUUGGCCGAAGCCUCCUUCCCCGGAUUCUCGUUCGACUUGCAUGUGUUAAGCACGCCGCCAGCGUUCAUCCUGAGCCAGGAUCAAACUCU
This 501-nucleotide ribosomal RNA is filed under the name uncultured Oscillospiraceae bacterium. Its description in RNAcentral is "partial 16S ribosomal RNA". Lineage: Bacteria; Bacillati; Bacillota; Clostridia; Eubacteriales; Oscillospiraceae. The record is from RNAcentral.